This 497-nucleotide ribosomal RNA is filed under the name uncultured bacterium. RNAcentral's name for it is "partial 16S ribosomal RNA". It matches the Rfam family "Bacterial small subunit ribosomal RNA", at positions 28 to 507 of the family's 1533-position model. The record is from RNAcentral.
GAUGAACGCUGGCGGCGUGCCUAAUACAUGCAAGUCGAGCGAACAGACGAGGAGCUUGCUCCUCUGACGUUAGCGGCGGACGGGUGAGUAACACGUGGAUAACCUACCUAUAAGACUGGGAUAACUUCGGGAAACCGGAGCUAAUACCGGAUAAUAUAUUGAACCGCAUGGUUCAAUAGUGAAAGACGGUUUUGCUGUCACUUAUAGAUGGAUCCGCGCCGCAUUAGCUAGUUGGUAAGGUAACGGCUUACCAAGGCGACGAUGCGUAGCCGACCUGAGAGGGUGAUCGGCCACACUGGAACUGAGACACGGUCCAGACUCCUACGGGAGGCAGCAGUAGGGAAUCUUCCGCAAUGGGCGAAAGCCUGACGGAGCAACGCCGCGUGAGUGAUGAAGGUCUUCGGAUCGUAAAACUCUGUUAUUAGGGAAGAACAAAUGUGUAAGUAACUAUGCACGUCUUGACGGUACCUAAUCAGAAAGCCACGGCUAACUACGUA